GUUAGGAAUAUUGGACAAUGGGCGCAAGCCUGAUCCAGCCAUGCCGCGUGAGUGAUGAAGGCCUUCGGGUUGUAAAGCUCUUUAGUCCACGAAUAUAAUGACUGUAGUGGAAGAAUAAGCCCCGGCUAACUUCGUGCCAGCAGCCGCGGUAAUACGCAGGGGGCGAGCGUUAUUCGGAAUCACUGGGCGUAAAGCGUGCGUAGGCUGUUUUGUAAGUCAGACGUGAAAGCCCAGGGCUUAACCCUGGAAUUGCUUUUGAAACUACAAGACUCGAAUUCGGGAGAGGAUAGCGGAAUUGUCAGUGUAGCAGUGAAAUGCGUAGAUAUUGACAGGAACACCAGUGGCGCAAGCGGCUAUCUGGACCGAUAUUGACGCUGAGGCACGAAAGCGUGGGGAGCAAACAGGAUUAGAUACCCCAGUAGUCC
RNAcentral lists this ribosomal RNA (425 nucleotides) under uncultured bacterium. Its description in RNAcentral is "partial 16S ribosomal RNA". It matches the Rfam family "Bacterial small subunit ribosomal RNA", at positions 354 to 796 of the family's 1533-position model. The record is from RNAcentral.